UGGCUCUCGCAUCGAUGAAGAACGCAGCGAAAUGCGAUAAGUAAUGUGAAUUGCAGAAUUCAGUGAAUCAUCGAAUCUUUGAACGCACCUUGCGCCCCUUGGUAUUCCGAGGGGCAUGCCUGUUUGAGUGUCAUUAAAAUCUCAAUCAUUUGUUCUUUUUUUGAAUGAAUGAAUUUGGAUGUGGGGGUUUUCUUUGCUGGCGCUCUCUAGGAGUCGGCUCCCCUGAAAUGCAUUAGCUAGUGCUUGUGUAGACUUGGGUCUCAUUGGUGUGAUAAUUAUCUACGCCAUUAGCCAUUCUACUUUUGUAAUAAGUGCUGCUUCCAACUGUCUAUUAUUCAGACAAUCAAUCCUUAACAUUUGACCUCAAAUCAGGUAGGACUACCCGCUGA
Molecule: unclassified non-coding RNA, 389 nt
Filed under: uncultured fungus
Lineage: Eukaryota; Fungi
Description: partial contains 5.8S ribosomal RNA and internal transcribed spacer 2
Rfam family: 5.8S ribosomal RNA (bases 1-133)
Source: RNAcentral